UUCCCGCUUGGUGACAGAGUGAGACUCCGUCUCAAAAAUAAAUAAAUAAAGGGGUGGCGGGAAGUGCACUAGGUUUGAAAUCGGAAAGUUGGUGGGGCUGCGGGAGCUGAGUCUGAAGCCCAGCUGUUGGCUACCGUGGGCGCAGAUCUGCUGUGGGGAAGGCGAGGGGACUCAGGCCUGCCUGCAAAGCAUUGUCUUACAUGAUGGUAGAGGACGAACUGGCACUAUUCGAUAAAAGCCUAAAUGAAAUUUGGAAUAAAUUCAAAAGUACUGACACCUCCUUUCAGAUGGCGGGACUAAGAGAUACCUACAAGGACUCCCUCAAAGCAUUUGCAGAAAAACCGUCUGUGAAAUUAAAGGAAGAAGAUAGAAUGGUUGAGAUGUUUCUGGAAUAUCAAAAUCAGAUUAGCAGGCAAAAUAAGCUCACUCAAGAAAAAAAAGAAUAACUUGUUAAAAUUGAUUGCUGAAGUAAAAGACAAAAAGCAAGAAUUGGAAGUACUGACUACAAAUAUCCAGGAUCUUAAGGAAGAAUAUUCUAGGAAGAAGGAAACUAUUUCUACUGCUAAUAAAGCGAAUGCAGAGAGGUUGAAAAGGCUGCAGAAAUCUGCAGACUUGUAUAAAGAUCGACUUGGACUAGAAAUUCGAAAAAUUUAUGGUGAGAAAUUGCAGUUUAUAUUCACUAAUAUUGACCCUAAGAAUCCUGAGAGCCCAUUUAUGUUUUCCCUGCAUCUAAAUGAAGCAAGGGACUAUGAAGUGUCAGAUAGUGCCCCUCAUCUUGAGUGCCUAGCAGAAUUUCAAGAGAAUGUAAGGAAGACCAACAAUUUUUCAGCUUUUCUUGCCAAUGUUCAGAAAGAUUUUACUGCCACGGUUUAUAAUUAAUGUACAAAUAGUAUAUAUUAAAACAGUUUACUUUUCUUCUCUGUUGUGUAUCUCUUUUUAAAAGAAUUCUCAUUAUCUGUUGUCUGCCUGUAAUUCUUUGGUAUUUCUGUAACAUUUUGUGUGGUUUACGUCUUUCAAUCACAGUAGUCCAUCCUUAUCUACAGUUUUGCUUUCCACGCUCAGUUACUCAUGGUUUCAGUUACCCCAGUCAACUGUGGUCUAAAAAUAUUAAAUGGGUAGAGUGCAGUACAAGAUAUUUUGAGAGAGAGAAAAAAGUAUUUCAUAUAUAUAACUUUUAUUACAGCAUGUUUUUAUAAUUGUUCUAUUUUAUUAUUAGUUAUUGUGGUUAAUCUCUUUCUGUGCCUAAUUCAUAAAUUAAGCUUUAUCAUAGAUAUUUGUAUGUGGGGGAAAAACAGUCUAUAUAGGAUUCGACACUAUCUGAGGUUUCAGACAUCUACUAAGGGUCUUGGAACAUGCCCCACAGAUAAGGGAGAACCACCGAACUUUAAUUAAAAUCUUA
RNA transcript from Sapajus apella (tufted capuchin), 1399 nucleotides. It is a transcript of the gene named kinetochore protein Spc25 pseudogene, with no coding region annotated. The transcript has a single exon. NCBI's taxonomy places the organism in Eukaryota, Metazoa, Chordata, Mammalia, Primates, Cebidae. The record is from RefSeq and is a predicted model, not a curated record.